ACGUUGGAUAUAUUCUGGCUGAUUCAUGAUUUUCUGUGCCGUUUCCCAGCGCGUGGCAGCACCACUACGAAGCCUUCGGGAUAGGGUAUUUACCCAAAACAUCGAGGGACGCAUUGAAGGAUUCCGUUCUAGCUCAAGACGCUCACGUUCAAUUCGGGCUUCAGCCGCUUGUUUCGCUUUAAAACUAUUAUUGAAACAUGGGAAAAACAGGAUCAGUUGUGCUGAGCGAAAUUAAAUCGUUGUACGUUGAACCAAUCAACAUCACACGGGAUGAUUAUUCAUUAGUGUCCCAGAAAGCUGCAAUGGCCGGAUUUAGUAGCAGUUGAUCAUCAGAUAAAUGUGGCGAAUGACGAGUUAAUAAAGGAAUCUGUGGAGUAGCGACGUUUGAGGUGCUGGAAGAGGCUUCAAGGUGGCUAACCUAUCAUCAAGUUGCUGUUCAGGAGUAGGUGGCGGAAUCUCACUCGGAGAUAGAGGAGUCAUGAUCAAACGUUGGAUAUAUUCUGGCUGAUUCAUGAUUUUCUGUGCCGUUUCCCAGCGCGUGGCAGCACCACUACGAAGCCUUCGGGAUAGGGUAUUUACCCAAAACAUCGAGGGACGCAUUGAAGGAUUCCGUUCUAGCUCAAGACGCUCACGUUCAAUUCGGGCUUCAGCCGCUUGUUUCGCUUUAAAACUAUUAUAUUUAUACACCAUUAAUAAUCCAGGAUGUGUACAGGUAUCAGACGUAGAGCAGAGUUCAAGUUGGAUUAGCCACAGGUGUGGAGAGGUACUCAUAAAGCAACUCGCAGAUCCAGGAUUGUAUUAGCAGAUCAACCUCAAACCAGUGGCCACAGGAAUUGAGAUUGGAGAACCUCAGCAGAUCCAUUUCUAAUCAAGAGACCAGCGCUUGUAUAGGAGCAGUCGUAGGGCAAACAUCAGUUUCUAUGAAUACAUGAUUUAUACACCGUUAAUAAUCCAGCAUGUGUACAGGUAUCAAACGUAGAACAUAAUUCAAGCUGGACUAACCACAGGUGUGAAGAGGUAUUCAUAAAGCAACUCGCAGAUCCAGGCUUGUAUUAGUAGAUCAACCUCACGCUAGUGGCCACAGGAAUUGAGAUUGGAGAACCUCAGCAGGUGGGCAGAUU
Non-coding RNA from Drosophila bipectinata, 1121 nucleotides. NCBI's taxonomy places the organism in Eukaryota, Metazoa, Arthropoda, Insecta, Diptera, Drosophilidae. The record is from RefSeq and is a predicted model, not a curated record.